GAUGAAGAACGUAGUGAAAUGCGAUACGUAAUGUGAAUUGCAGAAUUCAGUGAAUCAUCGAAUCUUUGAACGCAUAUUGCGCUCUCUGGUAUUCCGGAGAGCAUGCUUGUUUGAGUAUCAGUAAACACCUCAACUCCCUUUUCUUUUUUGAAAUUGGAGCUGGACUUGAGUGAUCCCAACGCUUUCUCCCAAGAAAGUGGCGGGUUGCUUGAAAUGCAGGUGCAGCUGAACUUUUCUCUGAGCUAUAAGCAUAUCUAUUUAGUCUGCCUAAAAAACAGAUUAUUACCUUUGCUGCAGCUAACAUAAAGGAGACUAGUUCUUGUGCUGACUGAUGCAGGAUUCACAGAGACAGCUUCGGCUGACUUUGUAAACUCGAUCUCAAAUCAAGUAAGACUACCCGCUGAACUUAAGCAUAUCAAUAAGCGGAGGA
Molecule: unclassified non-coding RNA, 430 nt
Filed under: soil metagenome
Description: partial contains 5.8S ribosomal RNA, internal transcribed spacer 2, and large subunit ribosomal RNA
Rfam family: 5.8S ribosomal RNA (bases 1-120)
Source: RNAcentral